Molecule: long non-coding RNA, 260 nt
Filed under: Salvia miltiorrhiza (redroot sage)
Lineage: Eukaryota; Viridiplantae; Streptophyta; Magnoliopsida; Lamiales; Lamiaceae
Description: long non-coding RNA (SMIL_LNC013861)
Source: RNAcentral
AAUGCUUGUGGAGGAUGUCCGAGCCAAGAGAAGUGUUUUUGUGGAAAGGGCACCCAAGAGUAGAAAAGCUUUCCAAUGGUUAGAGUGCUGUUUCCGACCUCCAUGAGUUUUUGAGGUAUCGUCGAGCUCUAGACGUUAAAUUAAGCACUUGUUGGGAGGUAACCCAACCGUUUUUGUUUAGUUUUUGUUUCUUUUAGUUUCUUUUUGUUUCUUUGCUUUCUUUGUUUUUUGUGUUUUGGUAGUUUAGUGCAGUGUUGAGC